CUGGAGAAUAUAAACCCAUUACAAUGAACCUGAACUUUGCAAGGUUAGGAUCGUAAGAAACCCACCAUCACCAUCAACACUCUCAUCUUCUCUCACUCUAAGAAACCCACCAUCACCAUCAACACUCUCAUCUUCAUGGUUCCAAACCAGCAAAAUCCCACACCCAAUCAACGGAUUUAACUCCAAUUUCAAUGAUGAUGGUUCUGAUGAUGACUCUCUUCAUUUGCACUUUGAGAAAGAUGUCUCGUCGCAGGUGAAUCAUCUUCGUACACCUCUUUUUUGCAAUGGUUUUCGCGAUUUUCAUGAGUUUGAGAGUAUGUGAGGUUGCUUAAUUUCAUCAUUGAUGAACCUGUGAAAAGUGUGAAAUUGAUGACUCUGUUGUGAAUCAAGUGGGUUUUGGAACUUCGAAACAAAAACGUCAAUAUAGAAACGAGCAGGAGAAGGCUUGAAUCGGAGGUUCAACCUGAAUCAAGUAGGGGGUUUGACCGAUUUACCCAGACCAAGAGAGGGAGGGAGGGACAGAGAGGCGUGGCGGCGUAUGGCUGAGCUGCGGCAGAGUUGCGGCAUCGAUGCCGAUUUCCGACGUGUACACAACCCCUGCGACGCACUCACAUCAUCAUACUUUCUUCUCUUGUCUCUGCUGCGUGUGAUUCAAGCUGAAGCAACAACAGAGGCUCAGAUUGUGAUGAAUUGGGGAAGAAGGAAACCCACCACAACCACCCAGAUGAAUUGUGUCAUCUUCAAACGGAUUUAUAUGGGUGAUGAUGAACCCUAAUCUGCAAAGGUGAAAGGAUUGAGAUGUUAUCAGGUAUUAAAUAAGGGGGAAAGAUAAGUGGGAGGUGAAAUGACAUUUCUACCUUCAUAUGCACUACACAUGACUUAAUUUAACUGAAAAUAAUAACUGGGUUUGCCAUAAAGAAUAUAACAUGCAACAUUUUCAAACAUUAAGGACAAAAGUCAUCAAUUUUAAAGAUAAAGGGCAGCGACUGAAAUUUGGGACAAACAUAAAGGACAAAACUUGUAAUUUACUCAAAAAAAAAAAAAAAAAACUCUUUAUGCUAAGGGCACAACUUUAUAAAAAACAUAAUUGUUGCUUAUUUAUGAUUUAAUAAGGUUUCUUAAAACCAUCACACAAACUAAAAUACAUAGAGUACAAACAAUAAUGCCAAUUAUAAUUUGAUAAGGUUUCUUAAAACCAUCAUACAAACUUCAAUACUUAGAGUACAAACAACAAUGCCAAUUACAAUUUAAUAAGGUUUCUUAAAACCAUCAUACAAACUUCAAUACAUAGAGUACAAACAACAAUGCCAAGAAUUGUUACAAAUUGAUAGUAUAUAAUAUUCGUUGAUACAUAUAUAUAUAUAUAGGAAAAGUGUAAAAUACAAUGCGGUUUAACGUACAUCACGUACGACAACUUGCAUGAUUAUGUGUAUAACGUGCGUGAUUAAUGUUUUCAUCAUGCUGAUUAAUGUUUUCCAACAUGCAUGAUUUGGGUUUUUUAGUUUAUAACGUGCGUGAUUUUCAAAUGAACGUGUGUAAUUAUCUGUCGUACGUGAUGUAUGUUAAGCCGUAUUAUACGUUAACUGGCCUCUAUAUAUAUAAUAGUACAAUUCAUAAUACAGAUAGUCUAUGCGGUAGGCCUGAUUACAUUUUUAUAUAUUCUUAAUAUGUAGAAAUUAUCGUUUAAAAUUUAAAAUAUUCAAUAUUCAUUUA
Molecule: long non-coding RNA, 1713 nt
Organism: Helianthus annuus (common sunflower)
Lineage: Eukaryota; Viridiplantae; Streptophyta; Magnoliopsida; Asterales; Asteraceae
Exons: 2
Source: RefSeq, a predicted model, not a curated record